ACUUGCCUGCAUUUAUGGUAGAUGAGAGCGU
This 31-nucleotide non-coding RNA is filed under the name Homo sapiens (human). Lineage: Eukaryota; Metazoa; Chordata; Mammalia; Primates; Hominidae. The record is from RNAcentral.